GGUUAAGUGACUAAGCGUACACGGUGGAUGCCUAGGCAGUCAGAGGCGAUGAAGGGCGUGCUAAUCUGCGAAAAGCGUCGGUAAGGUGAUAUGAACCGUUACAACCGGCGAUACCCGAAUGGGGAAACCCAGUGUGUUUCGACACACUAUCAUGUCAUGAAUACAUAGUGGCAUGAGGCGAACCGGGGGAACUGAAACAUCUAAGUACCCCGAGGAAAAGAAAUCAACCGAGAUUCCCCCAGUAGCGGCGAGCGAACGGGGAGGAGCCCAGAACCUGAAUCGGCUUGUGUGUUAGUGGAAGCGUCUGGAAAGUCGCGCAGUAAAGGGUGAUAGCCCCGUACACUAAAAUGCACAGGUCGUGAGUUCGAUGAGUAGGGCGGGACACGUGACAUCCUGUCUGAAUAUGGGGGGACCAUCCUCCAAGGCUAAAUACUCCUGACUGACCGAUAGUGAACCAGUACCGUGAGGGAAAGGCGAAAAGAACCCCGGCGAGGGGAGUGAAAUAGAACCUGAAACCGUGUACGUACAAGCAGUGGGAGCACCUUCGUGGUGUGACUGCGUACCUUUUGUAUAAUGGGUCAGCGACUUAUAUUUUGUAGCAAGGUUAACCGUAUAGGGGAGCCGUAGGGAAACCGAGUCUUAACUGGGCGAAUAGUUGCAAGGUAUAGACCCGAAACCCGGUGAUCUAGCCAUGGGCAGGUUGAAGGUUGGGUAACACUAACUGGAGGACCGAACCGACUAAUGUUGAAAAAUUAGCGGAUGACUUGUGGCUGGGGGUGAAAGGCCAAUCAAACCGGGAGAUAGCUGGUUCUCCCCGAAAGCUAUUUAGGUAGCGCCUCGUGAACUCAUCUUCGGGGGUAGAGCACUGUUUCGGCUAGGGGGCCAUCCCGGCUUACCAAACCGAUGCAAACUCCGAAUACCGAAGAAUGUUAUCACGGGAGACACACGGCGGGUGCUAACGUCCGUCGUGAAGAGGGAAACAACCCAGACCGCCAGCUAAGGUCCCAAAGUCAUGGUUAAGUGGGAAACGAUGUGGGAAGGCAUAGACAGCCAGGAUGUUGGCUUAGAAGCAGCCAUCAUUUAAAGAAAGCGUAAUAGCUCACUGGUCGAGUCGGCCUGCGCGGAAGAUGUAACGGGGCUAAACCAUGCACCGAAGCUGCGGCAGCGACGCUUAGGCGUUGUUGGGUAGGGGAGCGUUCUGUAAGCCGUUGAAGGUGGCCUGUGAGGGUUGCUGGAGGUAUCAGAAGUGCGAAUGCUGACAUAAGUAACGAUAAAGCGGGUGAAAAGCCCGCUCGCCGGAAGACCAAGGGUUCCUGUCCAACGUUAAUCGGGGCAGGGUGAGUCGACCCCUAAGGCGAGGCUGAAAAGCGUAGUCGAUGGGAAACAGGUUAAUAUUCCUGUACUUGGUGUUACUGCGAAGGGGGGACGGAGAAGGCUAGGCUAGCCGGGCGACGGUUGUCCCGGUUUAAGCGUGUAGGGGGUGUGACCUGGUAAAUCCGGUUACAUAUCAACCCUGAGGCGUGAUGACGAUGCACUACGGUGCAGAAGUAGUUGAUGCCCUGCUUCCAGGAAAAGCCUCUAAGCUCUAGGUAACAUUGAAUCGUACCCCAAACCGACACAGGUGGUCAGGUAGAGAAUACCAAGGCGCUUGAGAGAACUCGGGUGAAGGAACUAGGCAAAAUGGUGCCGUAACUUCGGGAGAAGGCACGCUGGCAUGUAGGUGAAGUCCCUUGCGGAUGGAGCUGAAGCCAGUCGAAGAUACCAGCUGGCUGCAACUGUUUAAUAAAAACACAGCACUGUGCAAACACGAAAGUGGACGUAUACGGUGUGACGCCUGCCCGGUGCUGGAAGGUUAAUUGAUGGGGUCAGCCGCAAGGCGAAGCUCUUGAUCGAAGCCCCAGUAAACGGCGGCCGUAACUAUAACGGUCCUAAGGUAGCGAAAUUCCUUGUCGGGUAAGUUCCGACCUGCACGAAUGGCGUAAUGAUGGCCAGGCUGUCUCCACCCGAGACUCAGUGAAAUUGAACUCGCUGUGAAGAUGCAGUGUACCCGCGGCAAGACGGAAAGACCCCGUGAACCUUUACUAUAGCUUGACACUGAACAUUGAGCCUUGAUGUGUAGGAUAGGUGGGAGGCUUUGAAGCGUGGACGCCAGUCUGCGUGGAGCCAUCCUUGAAAUACCACCCUUUAAUGUUUGAUGUUCUAACUCGGCCCCAUAAUCUGGGGUGAGGACAGUGUCUGGUGGGUAGUUUGACUGGGGCGGUCUCCUCCCAAAGAGUAACGGAGGAGCACGAAGGUUAGCUAAUCACGGUCGGACAUCGUGAGGUUAGUGCAAAGGCAUAAGCUAGCUUGACUGCGAGAGUGACGGCUCGAGCAGGUACGAAAGUAGGUCUUAGUGAUCCGGUGGUUCUGAAUGGAAGGGCCAUCGCUCAACGGAUAAAAGGUACUCCGGGGAUAACAGGCUGAUACCGCCCAAGAGUUCAUAUCGACGGCGGUGUUUGGCACCUCGAUGUCGGCUCAUCACAUCCUGGGGCUGAAGUAGGUCCCAAGGGUAUGGCUGUUCGCCAUUUAAAGUGGUACGCGAGCUGGGUUUAGAACGUCGUGAGACAGUUCGGUCCCUAUCUGCCGUGGGCGUUGGAAGAUUGAGAGGGGUUGCUCCUAGUACGAGAGGACCGGAGUGAACGCACCACUGGUGUUCGGGUUGUCAUGCCAAUGGCAUUGCCCGGUAGCUAAGUGCGGAAAAGAUAAGCGCUGAAAGCAUCUAAGCGCGAAACUUGCCUCAAGAUGAGUCUUCCCUGGGCCUUUAAGGUCCCUGAAGGAACGUUUAAGACUAAGACGUUGAUAGGCUGGGUGUGUAAGUGCAGCGAUGCAUUGAGCUAACCAGUACUAAUGAUCCGUGAGGCUUAACCUU
This 2908-nucleotide ribosomal RNA is filed under the name Serratia marcescens. RNAcentral's name for it is "23S ribosomal RNA". It matches the Rfam family "Bacterial large subunit ribosomal RNA". Lineage: Bacteria; Pseudomonadati; Pseudomonadota; Gammaproteobacteria; Enterobacterales; Yersiniaceae. The record is from RNAcentral.